UACGGGGGGAGCAAGCGUUGUUCGGAUUUACUGGGCGUAAAGGGCGCGUAGGCGGUCAGCACAAGUCAGUUGUGAAAUCUCCGAGCUUAACUCGGAAAGGUCAACUGAUACUGUGCGACUAGAGUGCAGAAGGGGCAACUGGAAUUCUCGGUGUAGCGGUGAAAUGCGCAGAUAUCAGGAGGAACACCAAUGGCGAAGGCAGCUCGCUGGAACGGUACUGACGCUGAGGCGCGAAAGCGUGGGGAGCGAACAGG
RNAcentral lists this ribosomal RNA (254 nucleotides) under uncultured bacterium. RNAcentral's name for it is "partial 16S ribosomal RNA". It matches the Rfam family "Bacterial small subunit ribosomal RNA", at positions 524 to 776 of the family's 1533-position model. The record is from RNAcentral.